GAGGUCAAGUCGGUGUCAGUGUGAUCAGUUUUAUUGCCAGGACAUAGGGUGAACAAGAUUUCUUUAAAAGCCAUUGGAAUAACUCCUUGAUUCCGGGCUGCGAAAAAGAUCGCACUGGGAGGGGAGGAGCGGCUGGUAAACCAGAA
Molecule: non-coding RNA, 146 nt
Organism: Pteropus vampyrus (large flying fox)
Lineage: Eukaryota; Metazoa; Chordata; Mammalia; Chiroptera; Pteropodidae
Source: Rfam